Molecule: transfer RNA, 70 nt
Filed under: Syrrhaptes paradoxus (Pallas's sandgrouse)
Lineage: Eukaryota; Metazoa; Chordata; Aves; Pterocliformes; Pteroclidae
Description: tRNA-Phe
Rfam family: tRNA
About the family: Transfer RNA (tRNA) molecules are approximately 80 nucleotides in length. Their secondary structure includes four short double-helical elements and three loops (D, anti-codon, and T loops).
Source: RNAcentral
GUUCUUGUAGCUUACAACAAAGCAUAGCACUGAAGAUGCUAAGACGACUCUCAACAUGUGUCCAAGAACA